This 2938-nucleotide long non-coding RNA is filed under the name Gossypium barbadense (sea-island cotton). RNAcentral's name for it is "long non-coding RNA (GBAR_LNC015362)". The record is from RNAcentral. Lineage: Eukaryota; Viridiplantae; Streptophyta; Magnoliopsida; Malvales; Malvaceae.
AAUAUUUAAAAAUGUUGCAACAGUUUAUCUUUCUACUAAUAUAACUAAAAGCUAAAGAAUUGAAAGAUGAAGAUAAUUAUGAGGUCUCAGAAACAAAGUGACCCAAAUAACGAAGAAAUAAUAUGACUCAAUAAUAACAAGCCUGUAUCCUUUGCGAACCAAGCACUAGGCGAAUAGCAUGGGCUUCCCACCCCCCACAUUACGUCCCAACAGCUGGUCUCAAGGCAUACCACACCACUGAGGAUCAGCCCAUCUUCGUCCCACGGAACACAGCCAAGCUCCACAAUCCCAUGUGACAUCAACAUUAAGCUAUAAAUGGAAGUCUUGUAGGGACUAAGGGAGUUAGGCAAGGGGAUACAAAUUGCCUCUAGUUGCAAGAAACUUGAGGGAUACGGAUUGCAAUUCUUUACUAAAAAAGAUUCCACAAAGAAUUCGCAAUUGGACACUAGAAACCUUUUAUUUGCUGAAAGGAUACAAUUAUUACAAUCAACCUUCAAAAUUUUUGUUGUAGAGUAUCAUUGCUUCCCUCUAAAGUCAUUAAUUAUUUUCUUUGGAAAGGGAUGGAAGGGUCAGCCAAAGGAGCAAAAGUGAGUUGGAAAGGAAUUUGUCACCCUAAAUCUAAGAGGAACUUGUUAUUAAAGAUCUAGUCACAUAGAAUAAAGCCUGUAAAUUGCAAAAUUGGGGGAUUUAUGUGGGUGCAAUCUGGAUCUAUUUGGGUAGCUUGGACAAAUUUUUAUGUUAUUAAAAGGUAAGAAUAAUUUCUAGGAUCAAGUUACAUCAAGUAGGAGUGUUCAGUCGGUUAACCGACCCGAAAUAACAUUAACCGAAUUAACCGACCUUUCAAAAUUUUUAACCGUUAACUGAACUGAAAUUUUUUCAAAAAAAUUAACCAAAUCGAAAUCGAAAAUUAUAUGUUUUUUUAUUUUUGGUUAAAAAUAAAUGAAUUACCCGAAUUAACCGAAUUAAAUAAAGAUGCAACAAAACAACCAAAGAAGAAAAGGUAAAGAACUCAGUAUCAUUUAAUUUAAUUAAAUAAAUAGCAUAUGCAAUUGUUGCAUUUUUAGCAAGUUUAAACAUCUUUAAACAGGGAAAUUAAAUGUUGAAAGUCCAACAUUUGGACAGAGGCCAAAGUUGGCAUUUAACCUCUCAUAAUUCCCUAUUAUUUCAAUCAGUAGCAGUCCAUAUCCUCAACAAACUUCAGUAUAUUCAGUUCAGCAAUUUCAUACUUAAAAUUUCAAACUUUACAUAGAUAUUAAAUGAAUACAUUUCAGUCUAAUAUUAAAGCUCCAAAUGAUAAAAGAAAGCAAAAUUGCAGAACAAGGUAUUAAAUGAAUACAUUUCAGUCUAAAAUUCCACAACUUAAUAGUAAAGCAUCUUCCUCCAUGUCUCUUGCUUUAAACUAUAGGACAAAACUAUAAGCAUUUUCAAAAAUCAUAUGGGAGUAGUGAAGGCCUCCUUGCGCAGUUGCGCCUAAGACUUAAACUCAUGUGGAGUUUGAAUCUUUUGGACCUUUAAAAAUCCAACAUCAACUUUGACUAGAAAUGAACUUGGGCUUGACCACUAAUCACACUUAGUUUCGACCUUAAUGAACUUAGCCUGAUCUUAAACAACAAUUAAUCUAAAUAGGAGUGAUGCUCAAACACAUUCAUAUGGUUAGCUUUCCAACUAGUUGGCAUAUAUGUUUUAUGCAGGAUUCUGUGUUUGGUAUUUUGUUCCUUUUGUCUGAUAUAUAAAUCCGCAUAUCAUUUCGAUUUUAUUAGGCAGCUAAAUUGCCAGUAAAUUAACUUAGAUUCACCAUAUUUUGUAACCGAAACUUCGGAUGUGGUCUGUACUCGACCACCGAUUCACGAAUUCGGCCUUAAAGACUAACUUAUAAAGCCAAGAAUCUAAUAUAAGCAAUGAUGUAAAUGUAAUGAAGCAAAUUGAUAUCUUGGUUUCAUCUAAACCCUUUUAAUUGUCCAAAGAAACAGAUGGUAAGAUUAAGUAACCAAAAGCUGCAGGGAAUCAAAUGAACCUGCAUGAAAGAAGGCCCCUCUUGAGCAGCUCUAAUGAAUGAGGCCUAUUGAAUCUCUCACAGUUUAAAUUCAAGAAAGAAAAUUAUGAUAGCAUGAAAAUGCUCAAUUUGAAACACUAAAACAACAGCUUGAUACAUUUAAAUUAUAGUUUAAUUUGUCAUGCUGGUUUGCAGAACAACUUUGCAAAUUUUUACAGUGAAAGACCCUACAUAGCUUGAUACAAAUUCAACUCAUUUUCUCCAACUGAAGCUAAAGAAACAUAUGGGUAUGUUAUGUUCAAACCGAUAUUGUUCAUGCUUCUCUAACCAAACUCUGCAAGAAAUCAGCUUAUAAAUUCAACCACAUUUAGUAUAAAUUUGUCUUAGUAUUAAUGAACCCAGUUUGCAUCUAAUGCGAGGGCAGCCAUUGGAUAACAAAAGCACCACAAUACUAAAUCCUCAACAGUAUCCCACAACAUACGAGCAUCAACUUUCUACUAAUCCUUUUCAGAUUGUUACCAAACCUGAUUUGUUGACUGAAUAAUGUUUUACAAUGAUGCUAUGAUUUUCGCAUCUAAGACAAGUACAUGCAUAGCAUGAAUUAAUACAAGCACACCAAAAGCUCACCCUACAGAAAUAAAAGCCUAUCUACAGAUUAAUAAAAAGAUCAUGACUUACCCAUCUAGCGUACUCUAAAAAUGGAAGUGGUUUCAGUCAGUUUCUCAAGAAACCCUAGUCCAAAAACAAAUAAAUAAAAGCAGAGAAAUGGAGAUUUAUUACCUUUUUGGAAAGUUGCAGGGAGUUGAGGGUUGACAAAGUUGCAGAGAAGAACAAGAAAAAUUAGAGAAAAAGAAGAGAAAAUUUUGUGAGGAAACCAAAUCGGAACAUGCGGAUGGAAUGGCUAUUACAGCUUUAGACUUUUAGUUUUAGAAUUUUAUUUUUAUU